UGGCCCAUCUCCAGCUUGGACUGCCAGAGGAAAUGUCCGCGUUUUUCAGUGCACAAAACCAUUAUCCGAAUAUUGAAUACUGAAUUUCACUUAACUGAAAGGCUUGAAAAUAGGUCAGAAACAGACCAACAGGGGACGCCGUUUGCCAUUGCAGCCUCAAGUCACGUUAUUACUCGUCUUCCGCUACAUGCUCGCGCUAAACUAAUUUACAGGUUUAAACGACGUAGGUUGACGAUCAUCUUCAUCAUCAUUAUUAAGAAACUCUGUCCAUCCAGAAAUCCUGGUGUUUCCUGGAGGACAUACCCUCACUCCAUCCAGAAUGAAUCCGCUACACCUGUGUGUGAAAAGGUCACCUGACCACCCGUUGGCGAGUCAAGACCGAUCCCGCUGCCACACCAGAUUAUAGACAGGUGGAGAGAGACAGAGAGACAUAAUGGGGGCACUAAACAGAAAGUGCUCAAGAUACCUAACCUUGCAACAAGCGUUUUGUCACAUCUGACAAACAGAAACUCCCAAGACAACUCUUUUAGCUUUCAUUCACAGCGGCAAGGAUCGCUUACAAAUGUUCUGCCAUAUUAUGAUGGAGGGUGGUAAGGGUUUGUGGAUAAAGAUGUAGGCUGGAGACAAGAAGGCUGUAGGUUUGGAGCCCACAAAAGACAAUUCAUCACCACAGAGAUUUUACACUUUAUGCUGAAUAUCUUCUUUUAUCUGGUAACAAGUUUUAAUACCUGACUGUGAACAAUUGGUGUUUGAAUUUUGUUGAUGAGUUAGUUGAAAGGUCCAUGGUUUUGUGAUUAUUUAUCUUCUUGUUGAUUUCAGGCAUACAGAAAAUGUUUAGGAAAUCUUCUGCAGAGAUAUUAACUUUUUUAUUUCUUAUUUUUAAAUUAAAUACAUAAAAAGUUUUUUCAUGAUUUCCUAAAUUGAUUCCAAUUCACAAGCUCACCAUUUGAUUUGGUUUUCAGUUUAAUUUAAUUUGAAUUCAUUUUGCCAUAUUUGUGACCAUUGAAAAUUAAUGUCUCAGAUUAUACAGGGAACAGUUUAAUUGUGUACAUAAAAAAAAGAAGCAGUUUUAAAAUGAAUACCACGGCUUAAACAAUACAAUUCAAUUGCUAUUUAUCUACUGAAUUGCUAUUAAUAUACAAAAUAAUUGCUAUUUAUUUACUGAAAUUUAUUGAAUCAUUCAUUACAAGGACCAUUUCAAAAGAGUCAGUUGUUUGUGAAUUGAACUGCAUGUUGAUAACUCACUACAAAAUACUAGGUUAAAAGACUUAUUUGUUUGUUAAUCAGACACAGAUUGCACUGCAUAUGUUUGACUAAAAAGAACUGGUUCAUAAGAGUCAGUAGUUUAUGAAUCUGACCACACGGGCUGCUCUAUAUGUUAUUGAGUGCAGCCUGAAAAAAUGUGUUUUAUUGCAAUUAAUUCACAUAACACAGCCUGUUUAUCUUCUCACAUUCUAUCUGAACCUCCAACUCAAGUAAAAUAUGACCUGUUUUGCUUUGGGGUUCUAGAUUCAACAGAGGGGUAGAUUUGGAAGAAUCAUAGAAGAUCAUUCAAAUGAAGAAGGUGUAUUUUACUCAGCUCAAAUGUUAAAAACAGAUGGAAACAGUGGGGCUGCCCUUGUAUUAAGUCUACUGUAAGUUUCAAAGAGCGUCCUCUUCCUCUUUUAACCAGUUCACUAAAUGUUGUACACAGUGCCAAUGUUAUAAACAUUUAAAAUGCUAUCAGGAAGAUAACUGUACCAUCCCACAUCAAUCUCUAAUGACGCACAAUAAACAGGAAAUGAAUUGGAAAAAUUAGCUUUUUAAUGAAGGUCUGUUUUGAACUAAUAACUAUCUGACUCCACCUGAGGCGGGGUGGGGGAGCGUUAUGGCAAACUUACUGAGGCAUUGUUGUAUUUCAUAAUUGCAACAUAAUUAGUAUGCAAUUGUGUUUUUUUUUUGUUUUUUUUUUGUGAAUAAUAGAUACUAUUUGAAGCAUAUUGCUGUAUCAUAGGGUGUAAUUUCUUUUUAAUUACAAUACAGUGAUUGCAUGUCAGACAAAAUCAUAUUGUUGAUUCAUGGCAGGAGUUGAUUUUCUUGAGCAGAACCAUGCUGACGGCAACCCUCUGACACAAAUGCACACGUUUAGACAUGUACACUUGCUCAAUGCAUGUUUUAAAUGUACAUGAGAUUGAUUUUGUAAGUACAGGCCGCUAGUAGAUUGCCAUAUGUUAAUGGCAUUUUUUUAGGUCAACCAGUUUUCACUGAGGGAUUUACACACAUUAAACACACUCUCAGAUGUUAAAGUCAUCAUGGCAUUGAUUGUAAGCUAGAGAAAUCCCCCAUCAUGCACCUCUCCUGCACCUUUUCAUUUCCUGGAAACACUAUCCAAUCUGCCUCUCAAAACCGCAAAGCAGAGGAUCCUGGGAAAAUAAAGGACCACUGAAAGCAACUGAGUGAGCUGAUUCAUCUUUAAUUACUUGUUUUCUUGUUCUUCCAUGUGAAUGCCAAAAUCAGAUAUUCUGUAAAUGUUGUAAAAGUAUUGCUGUUGAUAGCCUGUUUUUGGACUGUUUUUCAAACUAUCACUUAUAAGGUCAUGGCUUCUCGUGGUGAUAUGAGAAACCACUCGCUUUCCUUUUGUCAUUUAUACUGACGGAUACUUCCAGCUUCUUUCCACCAAUUCCUUUCUGUUUGCCUUUCAUUGUGUCCCUUGGAUAAAUAUCAUCCUCCCUAUUUUUUUGUUUUUUCUAUCUCUCACCUUUCGUUAUUGUCUUGCCCACUCUGAACACUUUUGCCAAAAUCUAUAUUCUACAACGCUAACCAUGCCUACACGUUUCUCUGUGUGAAACCUGUGUAUAAAUGUCCUCCAAUAAUAAAUCAUUCAAAUAUUUGUGUUUGUGCUUAUGUAAAUUUAGGAUAAAAUUUAGCACUGCUAAAAGCAAAACAAUCAUGAUCUCUGUUGGUG
Long non-coding RNA from Cyprinus carpio carpio, 2944 nucleotides. Lineage: Eukaryota; Metazoa; Chordata; Actinopteri; Cypriniformes; Cyprinidae. The record is from Ensembl.